Molecule: long non-coding RNA, 8795 nt
Filed under: Triticum aestivum (bread wheat)
Lineage: Eukaryota; Viridiplantae; Streptophyta; Magnoliopsida; Poales; Poaceae
Description: long non-coding RNA (TAES_LNC020955)
Source: RNAcentral
GCUGCCCCGGCAGCAGCUCGGCGUGGUGCAGAGCAAGCUGUACCCGGUGUACUUCCGCGCCAUGGCCUACUGCGUCGGCCUGGCCCUGGCGGCGCACCUGCUCGGCCGCGAGAGGAGCUCCUUCGCGGCGCGCGCCCAGACCUUCAACUUGCUCAGCGCGCUGGGACUGGUCCUCGCCAACAUGCUGCUUCUCGAGCCAAAAGCCACCAAGGUAAGAUUGUCCCAGCAUUCUUCUUCGUGCAAUUCGUCCUGUCGUUCGCAAAUCCGUGUCCGUCUCAUGCAUGCAGGUUUCCUCAUCUUCAUCGCAGGUGAUGUUCGAAAGGAUGAAAGUGGAGAAGGAAGAAGGCAGAGGAAGGGACAUGUCCGACAUCAUCGACCCGCCGGCCGUCACGGUGGCCACGGCCGCCACGACCACCACAGCCGCCCCCACGGCAGCAGGAGCCCGCAGCCCGGUGGACGGCACGACGGGAACCGUCAGGGCGGCGAAGACCACGACGACGACGACCUCGGUGACGGCGCCCGACGCGGAGAUGGCCAAGAGCAAGGUGGUGAGGCUGAACAAGCGGCUGAAGCAGCUCAACGGCUACUCGUCCCUGUGCAACGUGCUGUCCCUGAUGGCCCUGACGUGGCACCUCGUUCACCUGGCUCGCCGCCUGCAGAUGAGCACCGCCUGCUAGGCUCAUCGUCCCCGUGCAAAUGGAUGUAGUCUUCGUUGUAGCUUUGCUUUUGUGUUUUACGUAGUGUGGUCUGACACGUGCGUGGUUGCUCGGUGUGUUUGAGCAACCGCUCUGUAGAUUUAGGCAUCGUGUUCCCCCUCCGGUGUGUACUAGGAUGGCAUCUGAAUAUUAGCUUUGUUGUAGUCCUCUGAUGCUUCGUGGUUAAAGCUUGGAUGCGAUUUCAGCUUCGUGGUUAAGGUUAAAGCUUGGAUGCGAUUUCAGCUUCGUGGUUAAGGUUAAAGCUUGGAUGCGAUUUCAGCUUCGUGGUUAAGCUUGGACAGCACGUGAGUACCGGAGUGUAGAAUAUGUGAAUUGCACGAUGUAUUGAUCUUCGUGUAUAGGCACGUAUAUAUGAUGUACAAAGGUGGGCCACGGACCUUAACUAUACAAGAACUAGGAGGCGGGCCAAAUACACAAUAAAUGACGAUGUAGCAAGCAGGAUCACCUGUUCCCGAACAAAAUGAAUAUCCAACUUAAUAUGCUUGGUCCGGUGCGUUGAUGAUGCACCGGGUUAGCGGAAAGAUUGAUCGUCAAGACGUUGUCGCGAUAGACCACCGUGGCACGGUUAACAAGACAAGAGAGCUCCUGAAGCAGCUAGCGAAGCCACGAACACUCGGCGACGGCGUUGGCCACCGCAUGAUACUCAGCCUCAGCACUGGAACGAGAGACCGUAGGCUGUCGCUUGGACGACCACGAGAUAAGUGAGGGUUCAAGGUAGACACAAUAGCCCGACGUGGGGCGGAGGCGUGAAGCGUGAUGCCAAGAUCUAUAGUGCCACAGAUAUAGCGGAGAAUCCGCUUGACGGCAGCCCAGUGAACGUCUCGAGGAGCAUGCGUAUGAAGACACACCUGCUGCACGGCAUACUAGAUCUCCGCUCGAGUCAGAGUGAGGUAUUGGAGAGCACCAACGAUAGACCGAUAGAAAGCAGCAUCCGAUAAACAUGAGAACCAUCCAUAGCAGAAAGCUUGGCCUUCGUAUCAACAGGCGUAGCGGUGGGCUUACAGUUAAGCAUGCCGGCGCGCUCCAGGAGCUCAUGGGCGUACUUCCGCUGAUGAAGGAAUAAGCCAUCCAGACGGCGCACCACCUUGACACCGAGGAAGUAGUGCGAAGGACCCAAGUUCUUGAUGGCGAACUCAGCGCGAAGACGGGCUGACUGAGGAGACCAGUCGUACAUGCCGUCAGGAUGAUGUCGUCGACAUAGAGCAGCAAGUAGGGCGUGUCAGAGUCCUAAUGAUAGACGAAGAGCGAGGCGUUCGAGCGGGUAGAGCGGAACCCAAGCUGGUGGAGAAACGUCGCGAUGCGCUGGUACCAAGCGCGCGGAGCCUGCUUGAGUCCGUACAAGGACCGUGAAAGCAGACACACGUGGUCGGGAAGUGUCGGGUCCACAAACCUGGUGGGCUGCUGGCAGAAGACCUGCUCCUCGAGAUGACCAUGAAAGAAGGCGUUGGAGACGUCCAUCUGGUGCACCGGCCAAGCACGGAAUACCGCAAGGUGGAGAACCGUGCGUAUCGUGCCGGGCUUGACGACCGGAGCGAAGGUGUCGGUGAAGUCGAUGCCAGCAUGAUGUCGGAAGCCACGGACGACCCAGCGCACUUUGUAGCGAUCAAGGGUACCAUCAGGACGGAGCUUGUGUUUAAAGACCCACUUCCCGGUAAUCACGUUGGCAUGUCGGGGGCGGAGAACAAGCUGCCACAUCCGGUUACGCAAUAGGACGUCAAACUCCUCUUGCAUCGUAGCCAUUCAGAGUGGGUCACGAAGAGCGGCUCGAACAGAGGAUGAUAACGGCGACGGCUCAGAGGUGGACGCCGCAUGGACGUAUUCAUCCGAGGCGUAGCACGAGCUCGGGCGAAAGACGCCCGUACGGGCACGGGUGACCGGACCGGCCACGGGCACCGACGGCACUGCGGGUGCCGGGGGGUCGAGGGCGCCGGGGGCACCGCGGGGGCCNNNNNNNNNNNNNNNNNNNNNNNNNNNNNNNNNNNNNNNNNNNNNNNNNNNNNNNNNNNNNNNNNNNNNNNNNNNNNNNNNNNNNNNNNNNNNNNNNNNNNNNNNNNNNNNNNNNNNNNNNNNNNNNNNNNNNNNNNNNNNNNNNNNNNNNNNNNNNNNNNNNNNNNNNNNNNNNNNNNNNNNNNNNNNNNNNNNNNNNNNNNNNNNNNNNNNNNNNNNNNNNNNNNNNNNNNNNNNNNNNNNNNNNNNNNNNNNNNNNNNNNNNNNNNNNNNNNNNNNNNNNNNNNNNNNNNNNNNNNNNNNNNNNNNNNNNNNNNNNNNNNNNNNNNNNNNNNNNNNNNNNNNNNGGGCGCCGAGAGGGCCGCGGGUGUCGGGGGUGCCACGGGCGCCGUGUGUGCCGUGGGCGCCGGGGGCGCCGAGGGGGCCGUGGGCGCCAGGGGGGCGUUGGGGCCGCGGGCGCCAACGUCAGGGGUGCCAAUGUCGCGGCUGUAGGAGGCGCCGCAUGCGGGGGGCGCGCCUCAAAGCCAGAGGGGCAGGCCAAGAGAGGCGCGCGAGCGCCCUGGGAGAGGCGUCGAGGAGCCCGCGUCACCGGUGGCGGGAGGAACAGCCGGGGGUACCUGGUGAAACAAAAACACAUGCUCAUCAAAGUAAACGUGCCGGGAAGUGAACACACGGUGGGAGACGGGAUCGUAGCACCGAUAUCCCUUGGAGUUGGAGGGGUAGCUGAUGAAGAUGCAAGCGACAAAACGAGGUGCGAGUUUGUGAGGAGCGGAGUCGGCAAUGCUAGGAUAGCAAAGACACCCGAAAAUACGCAAGCCAUCAUAAAAUGGGGGCGUACCGAAGAGAAGAUGGUGAGGUGCAUAGUUCCACCGUGGGCGGCAAGGGCGAAGGUUAAGGAGAAGAGAAGCAGUGGCGAGUGCGUCCGGCCAGAAACGAGGCGGCACAUUAGCAUGGAACAGGAGCGUGCGAACGCAGUCGUUCAGAGUGCGAAGUACGCGUUCGGCUCGACCGUUCUGCUGGAAAGUAUAUGGGCAUGUGAGACGAAAAACUAUGCCAUGGUGCAAUAGAAAAGUGCGGAAAGUAAGGUUGUCGAACUCUUUUCCAAUGUCAGUCUGAAGAGCAAGGAUGAGACGUCCAAACUGCAUCCUAACAUAGGAUAAAAAGCCGUUAAAGUGGAUAGUGCAUCCGACUUUCUGCGCAAAAGAAAAGUCCACACAUAAUGAGAAUAAUCAUCAAGGAUAACCAGAUAAUAUAAAUAGCCCGAAUUACUAGGAACCGGAGAGGUCCACACAUCGCUAUGAAUCAACUGAAAAAAAAAGAAGCUAUGGUGAUGGAGUUAUUAAACGGGAGGCGAACAUGUUUGCCGACCCGACAGGCAUGACAGGUGUGAUCCUCUAUCUUAUGACAACUGAAACUGAAACUUUUAAGAAUAUGACGAAGUGUGACGGGGUUGGGAUAACCCAAACGAGCGUGCCAGAGAUAGACGCCGGCGGAGAGAGCAACCGGUGCAGCGGUGGAGGUGGACGGCGAAUGCACCGGAUAUAGCUCGUCGAGGUUGUCACAUCGGUGAAGUACCAUCCUGGUUCGAGCGUCCUUGAUACAAAACCCAAGCUCGUUAAAUUCAACAGUAACAGGAUUUUCACGAGUUAAACGACAAAGGGAAAUAAGGUUCUUAAUAAGAUGAGGUGACACAAAUAUGUUAGACAAAGUAAUAGGCAUGAAAUUAAAAGGAAAAGAAGUGCGUCCGACGUGUGUGAUAGGGAGUGUGGAACCGUCGCCGACAAUGAUGCGGCGGUCGGUGGUGACGGGAGUGAAGGAGGCAAGAUUACCAGGAUGAGCAAACAUGUGAGCCGUAGCUCCGGUGUCCAUGUACCAAUCAUCACCUCCGGUGUAGUUGUUCGGCGUAGGAACGACAUGCAAUGCGGGAAGGAGCACCGGGUCCCAGGGCGCCGGCGUCAGGGCCGACGAGGGGGGCGGAGACGUCAUGGGGAGGCCGUAGCCACCGCUCGACAGCGGCGGUGGGUACUCUCCAAACGCUAUGGGAAGCAGGCCUGGCUGCGACUGCGGUGUGGGGUAGACCGGAUGGCCCGCCGAAUAAACCUGCUGGCCUGUUGACGACCCCCACUAGUACGCGGGAGCCCCGUACACGGGCGUGUCGAACGCCCUGCGCAACAGCAAGGGAUCGACGGGGCCGUAGGGCACCGGCGGCGGGAUGGUAGAGGCGGCAACGGAUGGGCCGGUGGACGUCAUCUCUGGUCCGACGGCGGCGGCUGGGCAGCGGCGGUCAACGGCGCAGAGGAGGUGCGCGGCGGCGGCAGCGUAGAGGAGAUGUGCGGCGGCGGCGGCAGCGGCGCAGAGGAGGUGCGCGGCGGCGGCGGCGGAAACGAAAAAGCUAAAAACUGAUAAGCGGCGGCGGCGGGCGAUCGAGCGAGUUACAACAGCAGCUUGGCGGGCUGUUGCUUCGGGCGAUGCAGCAGCGGGUCAGGCAACGCGGGGCUGACGGGGCACGAAGCGGCGGCGUCGGGCGAUCGAGCGAGCGGCCGAGGAACUAUGCACACGCAAGUGCAAAGCUAGCUACUCGUGGCUUGAUGGAUUCUCAAGUUGCACACGGGCGAUGCAGGCCGCUGUGGGUUUGACGUGAGCGGCGAUCAUGCGAGCGCGCGACAGGCAGAGGGAGGUGGCAGCGACCGGCGCGGCAGGCGCGCGAGGGGCGGCGGGGUGGCGGUAGCGCGCGGUGGCAGCGGAAGGCUAGGGUUAGAAUCCGAAAAUUGAUACCAUGUAGAAUAUGUGAAUUGCACGAUGUAUUGCUCUUCGUGCAUAGGCACGUAUAUAUAGUGUAUAAAGGUGGGCCGCGGGCCUCAACUAUACAAAGAAUUAGGAGGCGGGCUCAAUACACAAUAUGCACAUAACACAUAUACUCAACACGGAGCACGUGCAUUGCCCUUUUGAUCUUCCUUCACCGAGCGUUUCUUCCUUCACGGCUUCACCUUGGGAUGAUUUGGCAGGGCGACAAAGUGGCGCCUUCUUUGCUCCCCUAUUGUUUUCGGACUUGAUGCACUCUGAGCAAGAGCUAAAGUAGCUCCUAAGAAUAGUGUUAUUGUACCUACUAAAGAAAUAAAACUCAUUAUCAAAAGGUAAAGAUAUGAAAAGAGGAAGAAGUCGAGCUAGAAGAAAAAUUAGAUCUGGCACCAUCAAAGCGUCGUGAGCAACGCAGCAACGCGGUUGGUUUCAACGAACAAAAACCAGACAUUUUGGCGGAGCGACUCGGAAAUAGCGCAGCCGACCCUCGGCACCUCGCCCCGAUCUCUCCCUACCGCUGCCGCCUGAGUUCACGCCGGCGAAGCUUGGGCUGUGACGGCGGCGUGGGGUCUUCUUCCCUCCGGUGGCGUCCUCCCAUGACGGCGGUGACAUGGACUUCGGUGGCGUGGUGCCACGGGAUCCUGACUGCGGACAUGGCGGCGGCGACAACGGCGGCGCGACCUUCCCGUGGGGGUGGCGCCCCUAUGGCGGUAGCCGGAAUCUCAGAUGUCAUCGGGCUUUGGCGGGCUGACGGGUCUGGUUUCCGGCGGCAGGCUGGCGUGGUGGGCCUAGCAAAGUUGUUUGCUUUGGCACCGUGGUGGUGCCUCGGCCGGUCAGGCGGCGCCGGAUGUCACCGGGCUUUGGCGAGCUGACGGGUCUGGUUUGCGGCGGCAGGCUGGCGUGGUGGGCCUAGCAAAGUUGGUUGCUUUGGCACCGUGGUGGUGCCUCGGCCGGUCAGGCGGCGCCGGCUGGAUCCUUUUGGUCUAGUCUCUAGCAGAGAAGGCGGCGAUCCGUGCACAAAAAACUGGAUGGAGUUCUUUGAAUAGAUCUGUGCAAAAACCUGCUCUUAGCUAGAUGCCAAGGCCGGCAAUGACGGCUCUAAAGUGUCGUCCCCUUCUUGAAGGCACUGUCGUGAACAAGUUUUAGACCACUAUAUGCUAUCUUCGGAGGAAACCCAGGUUGAUAGAUCAGAAGAUGGUGGGCGCUUGUGUCGUUUUCCCCUUAGGGCGUCAUUCUUGGAGGUGUACAUGGACUCGAGAGACCAGUAGACGACAUCUUUGGCGCGGUGUUUCAUUAUACACAUUGAUGGUGAUGGAUCUCGAUGGCAUGGAGUCCUAGAGAUUAGGCGUCUGAUGUGUGAUGAUGGACUCGUGCAGGAGGAUGAGAUGUCUGGCGUCUUGGUGGCGUCGACGACAACUAGACCGAGCAAGGUUGAUGCAUUAGUACAACUCUGAAGAUGGAUUGGUGGCGGCGGCAGCCUCUGAGUGUGCGCCGGACCGGUGGGUGCCCCAUACCCGACAAAUGGCUUGGUUGGGGGCUAAGGCUUAAAUGUUAGGUUUGGCUGCGAGGUCAAUUUGGUAUUAGGUCCAGACUAUCAGCAUCCCUUCGUUACCUGGAUAGGAGUAGUGACAGAUGUUGUUUAAAUGAUGGUUUUAGUCUUAUUGUUGUAUUACUUUUUAGAAGAUUCUUUUAAUAAUUAAUAAAAUGACUGCAUGCAUCGUCCAGAUACAGUGGCCCAACGUCUUCUUUUUUUUAAAAAAAAAAACGUUUUGACGGAGCGGUGAAGGAACUUUCCUUGCCUUUUUAUCGGAUCGUCGUGCGUUUAUUUUUGAAACGUAGUACAAUUUCUUUUAAACAUAUAGUAGUACAUUUUUUAAGCAUAGUACAAACGCAAACCACGUGUGCAUACAUCAACAAGAACUGUAUGAACUUAUCAUAUGCGAAACUUUGAGUCGGUAGGUUCUUAGAUCGAUAGGUUUUGAGACCAAUGAAGUUAGGGUAUGACUAGAGGUCAGGUGACUGAAUUUACAAAUUUGGGUCAGUCACUUUUUCUCCGUCCACAUCGGCGCCCCAGGCAUUGGGCUCGGCGAGCUACCGGGCUGUGCAGCUGCUGUUGUUACGUGCUUCGUCCCACCGCUCGCAUGCACGCUAAGCUAGCUCGCUCAGAGUUGAUAAAACACACAGCCACACUACAUUCCACGCCACAUGGUCUCUUUUUUUUUUGCGUGGAUUCCACACCACAUGCUAGAUACCGAAUAAUACCAGCAUAGGCACUAUGAUAUCUUUUUUAAUUUCAAAGCAACGGAAUCCUACAGCUCAAAACUUUUUGUACUCUUUUGUAUGCGCACAUAUAGUGCAGUACUCCUACGAAUCUGUAUAAAAAUCUACUCCCCCCGUUUCCAAAUAUUCGUCUUUCUAGACAUUUCAAAUGGACUAUUACUUACGGAUAUAUGUAGACAUAUUUUAGAGUGUAAAUUCACUCAUUUUGCUUUGUAUGUAGUCAUUUGUUGAAAUCUCUAGAAAGACAAAUAUUUAGAAACGGAAGAAGUAUGUUCGUACGUGAGAGAUAAAAACAGAUAACAAUGAAGAUAAAAUGUGAAGACAUCUUGAUCACAAGCUACAGGGAACCCCACUUGGUUAAUGUUUUCCAUUUCUUUGUAUCGUGUGCCAGUCCAAUGAAAGAAUUAGCGCCAAUAGAAAAUAAAAAAAAUCUAUGGAAGAAUUAAUUAGUACAUUGAUAUCACCCUUUAAAAAGAAAGAAAAUGAAGAAUAAAACAAAUUAAUGACAAAACUUGCACACAAUUUACGCAGAGGUUACACUUUUUAUAAUAUGCAAGGAUAAACUUAUAGUACUGAGUUUUUUUUGCAAAAAGAAGUUCCCUUAGAAGAACGAAUUAGUGACUUUAAUAUAAUCCGUAAAGAAAAAUAAAUAAAAAACAAAAAAAAUAAAAUUUGCGUACAAUUUACAAAGAAAUCGCACUUUGUUAUAAUAUGCAAGAAUCAACAUGUAAUAGUGGAAUUUUUGCAAAAGAAGAAUUUUUCCAAAGAGUGAAUGAAUUAGUUGCAUUGAUAUUUCAUCCACGGCGUCUCUACUUCUCAAAAUGAGAAAAAUAAAGUUUUCUAUGAAAGAUUAAAUUGAUGGCAUUAGUAUGACCAUUUAAGAAGAAAGAAAAUAAAGGAAAAACUAACACGCAAUUAAAUCAGAAAUUGUGUUUUUUUUACAAUAUGAAGGCUAAGCAUAAAAUAGUGGAGUUAUCACAAAAAAGGAAAGUUUUCUAAUAUUAGUAUUACACUUUAAGAAGAAAGAAAUUUAACAAAACAAAAAAACAAAAA